Molecule: ribosomal RNA, 465 nt
Filed under: uncultured bacterium
Lineage: Bacteria
Description: partial 16S ribosomal RNA
Rfam family: Bacterial small subunit ribosomal RNA
Source: RNAcentral
GACGAACGCUGGCGGCGUGCUUAACACAUGCAGGUCGAACGGAAAGGCCCCUUUGGGGGUCCUCGAGUGGCGAACGGGUGAGUAACACGUGAGUAACCUGCCCUUGACUUCGGGAUAACUUCAGGAAACUGGGGCUAAUACCGGAUAGGAAUCCUUGCUGCAUGGUGGGGGUUGGAAAGCUUCGGCGGUUUUGGAUGGACUCGCGGCUUAUCAGCUUGUUGGUGGGGUAGUGGCUUACCAAGGCUUUGACGGGUAGCCGGCCUGAGAGGGCGACCGGCCACAUUGGGACUGAGAUACGGCCCAGACUCCUACGGGAGGCAGCAGUGGGGAAUAUUGCACAAUGGGCGGAAGCCUGAUGCAGCAACGCCGCGUGCGGGAUGACGGCCUUCGGGUUGUAAACCGCUUUCAGCAGGGGCGAAGCUUGUGGUGACGGUACCUGCAGAAGAAGCACCGGCUAACUACGUG